RNAcentral lists this ribosomal RNA (253 nucleotides) under uncultured bacterium. RNAcentral's name for it is "partial 16S ribosomal RNA". It matches the Rfam family "Bacterial small subunit ribosomal RNA", at positions 524 to 776 of the family's 1533-position model. The record is from RNAcentral.
UACGUAGGGACCGAGCGUUGUCCGGAAUCAUUGGGCGUAAAGAGCGUGUAGGCGGCUUGCUAAGUCUUGCGUGAAAGCUUGGGGCUCAACCCCGAGUCGGCCGUCGAUACUUCCGGGCUGGAGCACUGUAGAGGCAGGUGGAAUUCCGGGUGUAGCGGUGGAAUGCGUAGAGAUCCGGAAGAACACCGGUGGCGAAGGCGGCCUGCUGGGCAGUAGCUGACGCUGAGGCGCGACAGCGUGGGGAGCAAACAGG